GUUACCAUUCUAUCAAUUACAAGAGGGGUUCAGCGCGUAACACUCACAAACAUUGUGAGACAGGCGCUCUCACCCGUCCCAGAGAUUAAAGAGCGAGGGUGAAUGCGCAUGCGCGGUUAGGAGGAAACGGCUGAGGUUCAUUUCAUGCUAUGUGUGGUCGACUUCGUACCGAUCAGAGUGAUAGAGCGAGGGACAUAGCGUAAAGAAAGGGGAGUUAAGGAUUCACGCUUUGGGUCAGCCAACUGAACGUGUUGAUUAAACUGCAAGAGGGGAACACGAAACGUCUGUAAUGACAGCAGAGUCAAGUGAAUUAAGUGAAUAAACACAAGCGACAUUGCGCGGCUGAUAGCAAGAGAGGCAGAUAGAUCCGAGAAGAGAAGAGAGGAAAAAGGGAUAUCCAGUCGGACUAACAAGUUGGGUUGCCCCGAAAACGUGGACAAGGCUGUCAAACAGAUAAAACAUGGCAGAUGCUGACCUGGACUUCACAACAGGCGAUGCUGGUGCCUCUGCUACCUACCCCAUGCAAUGCUCUGCCCUGCGCAAAAAUGGUUUUGUGGUGCUAAAAGGUCGACCAUGCAAGAUUGUGGAAAUGUCAACAUCUAAGACUGGCAAACAUGGACAUGCCAAGGUUCACAUGGUGGGCAUUGACAUCUUCUCUGGCAAAAAGUAUGAGGAUAUCUGUCCCUCAACCCACAAUAUGGAUGUCCCUAACAUCAAAAGAAUGGACUACCAGCUUAUUGGCAUACAGGAUGGCUACCUGUCUCUGCUCCAGGACAGCGGUGAGGUCAGAGAAGACCUAAAAAUGCCAGAAGGAGACCUGGGCAAAGAGAUAGAAAGCAAGUUUGAUGCCGGUGAGGAAAUCCUGAUCACGGUCUUGUCUGCUAUGAAUGAGGAGGCUGCAGUAGCUAUCAAAGCCAUGGCUAAAUAAAACACAGCAGGUACUUCUGUGUAUCACAGAUGUAGGACUGCUGCAGUGUUUGAUGUAUCUGGGUUUGACAAGAGGCAUUGGACCUGGAUAUGAGAGAAUUAGACCUCCACAAUCCUAUUCUCCCUCCUUUAUUCUUUCUCAUUCUUUCUUUCUUUUUUUUUUUUUUUUUUUAGUAGCCCAUGUAGUUAAAUUUAAAAUCUUGAAAAUAAAUUUCAUAAUCAAAAUAUUCUAAACCAAAUAACAUUUUUCAGAAACAAAAGGUACAUAAGAAACAAAUAACAGAUAUGAUUGUUAUGAGUGGACAAAAGUACCAUAGUGAUGGACGGCUGGGGUGGGUAAAGGAUUUAUUUGUAUUUAUUAAUUUUCGGGGAGGGGAUAUCGUAACUGUCUUUACUAGCACAAGUGUGUCUGUUUUAAUUUUAAGAUAACUACCCCUCAUAUGUUCCUUGCUAACUUAAAUCACAAUGGUAAAUAGCUAUAAGAGGUAUGUUAUGUGGUUGAUUUUAUUAAUGAGCAAUUAUAGUGCAAAGGGAGCGUAAAAAGCUCAAGUGCAGAAUCUCCUGUAAAGGACAGAUACAAAGGCAAUGACAUGAGUAAUAGGAUGCAGUUUUGUGUCUUCACUACAGGACCAAGUGCUCUGCUUAACUUCCCUUUUAUCUUUCAUUAGCUUAAAGCAAAAGACCCUUGGCAGGGGGUGACAAUAUCACACAACUUGGAGUAUACAGAUGGAUGAUGCAGUAAGACUUUGAAUAAUUUUUUGCUCUUUAUUCCCACACUCCCUCUCCCCUGAUGAGACUGAUAACACAGGGGAAGCCAGCAUCACAAUUUUAUCAAAAUUUCCCAAGUUUUGGAUGUUUGAGUAUACUCUGAAGUGAAAAGAGGUUCCAUUAGCCUUAUUUUUAAUUGAAAUAAACACACAUACUUCUGCCUAUAAUGUA
RNA transcript from Cyprinus carpio (common carp), 1866 nucleotides. It is a transcript of the gene named eukaryotic translation initiation factor 5A-1, with no coding region annotated. The record is from RefSeq and is a predicted model, not a curated record. Lineage: Eukaryota; Metazoa; Chordata; Actinopteri; Cypriniformes; Cyprinidae.